UCCUACCCCCCCCCCCCCACCCCCCCAAGAAAAAAAACUAUACCUAGUUCUAGAUGCCCCAUAUUCUUGGAAUUACAUGGCUUCUUUGUGAAUGCAUUUGCUUUUUCUUUCAUCAUCUGAAUGUUGGACUUUAAUUCGGGAGUUUUUGGUAGGUUUUGUCUGAUAUCAGAACGCAUCUCAUGAGAAUAUUUAACUAAAAGCUCAAAAAAAAAAUGGACCAGUUUUACAUAGGGCUGGGCAAUAUACUCAUUCAAUAAUUACCUAAUUUAUAUAUAUUUUUUAGUUCAAUAGCAGUUAUUGCCACCUUUUGGUGUAUUGCCUUUCUCUUUCUUUGUUGUUUUUUAAAAUUAUCGUUAUUAUAAUUAUCUGCAUUAUUUAAUUCUACCUGAUGUGGUAGUAAACAUCCAAACUUCAGGGGCAGUGUGAAAUUCUUCCAGAAACACCACUGAUAUCCAUUGGAUGUUGAUAAGACAGCCAAUCAGCAGCAAGGUCAUACAGGGGCUUGCAGCUUCCAUGUGAUCGACAAAGAACAGCCACUGAUUGGCUGUUUUAUCAGCAUCCAAUAGAUAUCAGCGGGGAUUUUUCCCCCCCCGGAAGCACUUCAUGCUGCCUUUAAAGUUUGGAUGUUUAUUACCAGAGCAGGUGUAAGUGAAGAGACAGACAGAAAGGCACAUGGUGGUGAUGACCGUUGUCAAAACAAUGUGACCGUUAUUGAGCGAGUAUAUCGCUCAGCCCUGUUUUCACAGGAGAUCAAUGCCAAGGCCCUGACUUAUCAAUGGACGAAGAGGCAUCCCAUUAAUCUUGUUUUUACUGGACAUGAAUCAUGGAACCUGCUUUCCGCUCAUUGCUGUCACCCUCAUGAUUAUCCAGCUAUUUCAUCAUUUUUCCGUGUGGGUUCGAUUUCACCCCUAGCUCUGAGUUCGCACACUGCCCCGAGCCUAUCAGACAAAUAAGGAUUCUUUGUUUGAAGGGGUUCCGCGCUGGACACAGACAGAAGAGAGAUGUGUGCUUAUGGAUGACAGUGGAGCAUUGCUUGAAUCCACGCUUCACCCUCGUUUAUAUUAGUGUAAUUUCUGAGGUUAAAUUCCCCUGAUAAAUGAACUGAUGGCCCAUGCCUCUGUAGUUAGAUCAUGUCAGGGCGCAUUGCCCACUCAUUGAAGUCUUUACUGAUUGUUUACUGAAUGUUCGCCCAGUUAAUUACAGCAUCUCCAGUGACGAGCGUGCAGCUCGGUAGAUUGUUUCUCUUCCUUAGAACUCUCAGUCAGCCUGAGGACUCGGCUUCAUGCAGAUGCCAAGUAAACAGCAGCACUAUAAUAUGCACAUAAACGCGUGCCUUGUUGCUUUCAGAUUUUUUGGGUGUGCUCUAGUUCUACCGCACUCCUCUACAUUAUUGGGAAUAGGAAUGAUCAGACGAAGACUAAUGUAAUUAUUUGCCUUCAAAAUAUUUUAAUUAGUUUCCAUAUAUGCGAAUAACUUGCCAUUCACUGUAUUUUGUGUUUAAUAGUAUUAUUUUGACAGGGAAGAUGUAUAAAUACAAUGGAUGUGGUAAAUAAUUUAAUCUGAUGUGAUGAUGCCUAUUAUGCCAUAAUUUUCUCCCUGGUGGUCACCCAGAAUAUGACUGCUCCCACAUCAAAGCCACAGUCAGGGACAUGUUCAUCCUUCCUCUACAUGUGAAAGAAUAAUAUCUGAAAUUCAGCAAAUUGAAGGCUUCAGAUCAUUCAUUUCCAUCCACAUAGCUGUAAAAACCCCUGAUGUAAUGGUUGCAGGUUUAAUGCUGUGCUUUGCUCCUACCUCAGUGUGAGCCAGUGUGAAUUUAUCAGCCUUGUGUGGAAGUGUCUGUCGCAUUCAAAGUUCUGCAGUGAAAAGUUCUUAUCUUGAUAUUAAAUCUGGAAAAGUUUGCCGUUC
Molecule: long non-coding RNA, 1905 nt
Organism: Anguilla anguilla (European eel)
Lineage: Eukaryota; Metazoa; Chordata; Actinopteri; Anguilliformes; Anguillidae
Exons: 2
Source: RefSeq, a predicted model, not a curated record